AAUGGGGGCAACCCUGAUCCAGCGACGCCGCGUGAAGGAUGAAGGUCUUCGGAUUGUAAACUUCUUUUGUUCGGGAAUAAAAAAUCUGUGGAAACACGGAGAUUGAAGGUACCGAACGAAUAAGCCACGGCUAACUUCGUGCCAGCAGCCGCGGUAAUACGAAGGUGGCAAGCGUUACUCGGAAUUACUAGGCGUAAAGGGCAGGUAGGUGGUUUGAUAAGUCUGUUGUGUAAGCUCCCGGCUUAACUGGGAGAGNUCAACAGAAGCUGUCAGGCUUGAGUAUAGGAGAGGGUACUGGAAUUCCCGGUGUAGCGGUGAAAUGCGCAGAGAUCGGGAGGAACACCAAUGGCGAAAGCAGGUACCUGGACUAUUACUGACACUCAGCUGCGAAAGCUAGGGGAGCAAA
RNAcentral lists this ribosomal RNA (406 nucleotides) under uncultured bacterium. RNAcentral's name for it is "bacterial SSU rRNA". It matches the Rfam family "Bacterial small subunit ribosomal RNA", at positions 370 to 772 of the family's 1533-position model. The record is from RNAcentral.